Caerostris darwini is the source of this 110-nucleotide non-coding RNA. The record is from the annotation of a GenBank genome assembly. NCBI's taxonomy places the organism in Eukaryota, Metazoa, Arthropoda, Arachnida, Araneae, Araneidae.
AACGGCCAUACCAUGCUGAAUAUAACGGUUCUCGUUAGAUCACCGAAGUCAAGCAUUAUUGGGCGCGGUCAGUACUUGGUUGUCAAAAUUUGGGAACACCGCGUGCCGUU